AAAUCCAGUAAUGAUAAUUUGGUAUUAUUAAAUGAGAUUUGCAUCACAACAAUAUGGCCUUCCUAUGGCAUCAUUGCAUGCCCAUUAUGCUCAUGAGAUUUGCAUAACAUCUGACCAGAAAAAUAAAAUAUAGUUAUGGCAAUAAAAGUUUUUCUUUUUUCUCCAGUAUUUCAGGAAAUUCAUGUAUCAUUUCCAUUACAAUGAAGAGCCUCUCAAGUAUGGAUCAUCCCUAUAUUUUGAGUACAAUGGAAGAUCAAGGGCUCUCUCUGCAAUUCUUCCGUCAUCGUGAAUCUUCGCUAUCAAGCUCUCAAGUGAUGUGAAAUUAGCCUCAGGUCGAAUAUAGCCAACUAUAACAAGACGCAAUUCCUCACCAUAGAAAUCUUCAUCAAAUUCAUGAAGCAGCCAUGGCUCCUAUAAUAAUAACCAGAAUUAGAAGAUGGCAAAAAUACAUGCAUAGGCCACCAUUUGAGUUGAUUUUACACUCACUAUAGUCUUUUCUGCGUUGUUAAAAUAUGGGUUCCAACCAAUACUCAUGACCAUUUUAUACACACCGCGGGUCGAUAGUCCAGACCAACCAAAAUACACGCCAGAGGAGUGUUCUGAAAGCAACAUUGAAUAACCUUCUGUGGAUAUAUUAGCUGAAACAAAUAACAACUCAUUAGAAGAUGAGAAAGAAAACCGGAAGUACAUACUAUUUUGGUUGAGUAGAAGAUGAACAGAAAACAAAAUAGGAAAUACGUCCUCAUACUCUCAAAUUCCAUUACAAGCUCAACUGCUCAAGGUGAUAUCAAGAGCAAAGCUGAUUGCCACAAAGAAAGUGACACUUUUACCAAAGUUGUAGAAAUGAUGAAUUCUCAAUACCAGUGGGGAUCCCGAGGACCUUUGAGCCGCGACCAAAUCCCUUAAUUACAGGACCGCCAAUAUGCCAAGGUUCCACUGGCAAGGUACCCUCAAUCCCUGCAAUCAGAAAUAAAUUUUAUGUUAAAAACUGAGGUGAAACCAUGAAAGUAAACUUGUUUUCAAAGAGAAAGAAUGACCAAGGUACUGAGGUGAAAUUAAAUUUGUUAUCUAACUGAAACAAUAACCAAGGUCUUUGAUGUUUACAAUCUUCAAAUGCAGGUAGGCCCCACUUUUCAGUUUGCAAAUCAAGUAGAGAGUUUAUCACUUCAUCUGCUGAUGUAUAAAGAUGAGAUUGUUUUGGAAGUGAUGGUACAGCAACCACUUCCAUUCCAGCAGCCUUACCACCCAUAACACCUGGCCUGGCACAUCCAAAACCUUCAAAUAUGGUUAAACAGAACUCCAUCAUAGCAUAUGAACGUUUUAGUACUUAUCAGUUGUAAAAAUAAAUUAUGUGGAGUGGACCCAGGAAGAAAUGCUAGUAGGAAGUCUAAAUCAAGCAAUUUUCACAAAUAUUUCAGCAGACAAUCAUUCCACUGCAGGUAUUUAAAAAAGAAAAAAAAAAAUCAGCCAACUUAAACUUUUUGCAAGGUAAUAGAGUGAAUAAUAGGGUAUAUAAGGUUCUAAGAAGAGUGGCAAUAAAAAUUGUCUCAACAUCUGGAAGCAAGAAUACAUAAAAAUUUCAACAAACAGCAAAUUGAAUGUCAAAUAAAAGUAGAAAACAUUGGUAUCAUUUGAGGUUAUCAGGCCAUAGAAACUUAGAAAGAGCCAACUUAUUUCUUCUAUGCAGAUUCUACAUAGAAGUUGGCUCUUUAUUGAUUACUGAAAUCAGCAUAAAUUAGGAGGCUGUCGCUCAGAAAGAAAGUAUGUUUCCUCAUGAGAAAUAGUAAGGACAAGUGAAUAGAAGAAAACUUCUAUAACAAUUGAAUUAUUUUUCUAACUUACAAAGAAUCCUCAAUGACCAGGCAACUGGAGGGUUCGACAUUCAGCCUUUUAGCUGCUUCCAAAAAUCUUAGACAGCAAACUCCCAAAGUUAAAUUCAAGAACAUAACAAUUUUUCAGAGUCAAACAAAAGACAUUCAAGAGAAGAAAAGACAGAAUUGUACACAUAUCUUAUCUUACAUUUCAGGAGAUGGUUUCCCAGUUCUUACUUCAUCGCCACCAAUAAUGACAGAGAAGGAUUCCUGCCAGCCCUGGUGAUAUGAAAUUUUGGAUUUUAUGCUUGCGUUUGGAGAGUUUGAAGCCAAUGCCACAGGUACAUUAUUACCACUUAAAUGUUUAAUUAACCGAUUGGCACCUGGAAGUGCUUUAAUUUUGCACAACUGAUCAGAGAACACAGGAGUGAUUUCUGCAAUAAAUUCUUCUGUUGCACAAGGAAGCCCGUAUUCUUCCACUAUAGCAGCAGCAGCUUCCAAAGGGGUCUUUCCUACUAUUUUACUAGCUUCUCUUCCAUCCCACUGUUUCCCAUACUUGACCAAAAAACCCUUUAAAACAUCAGAUACUAAUCCAUCUGUAUUGAGAAGGGUACCAUCUAAAUCAAGUAUGACGGCAGACACAAUCUUCUUGAAAGGGUUUGCCAUUGACAUUUUAGAAAUCAUGCAUAAACCGCGCCCAAAGAUUAUACUCUGAUUUUAAGAAUGCAUAAACUGUAGUUGGCGACUGGGCGUGAAAUGAGUGAAGGGAGAGAAAGGAGCUUGUAUCAAUCGCUAAGCUGUGCCAAAACUUGUCUGUUUCUGAAAAGCCGCUUCUUGAAGGAAGACUGAGAAAUCGAGAAGCAAAAAAUGGGCUUUUUCCGCUUUGCUCGGAUACCAAUUGUACCUAUUCCAUUGUGGAAUCUCUCUCGCUUUCUCUCUGUUAGAAGGAUUGUGAAUUGUGGAAUCUCACUUUGUCCACAACCGUGAAUACUAAAUACUAAAUACAGAAGCUUACCACCAGGCUAAUCUUCUUCUCUCCUUCUUUCACCCACAAAAUUGGUGCAGAAAGAGAGCUAAUUUUAGGAGCGAAUGAUUUGGAUGAAAUUUAAUUAUUUAAAUAAGAGAAAAUUCGAUUUUUGAUUAAUAACCUAUGAAUAUUCCAGGCUUCGCAUAUUCCAUUUCUUAUGCGGUGAUGCUCACAUGUCACAAAGGCAAGGCAACAUGGUGAUGGUUGAG
RNAcentral lists this unclassified non-coding RNA (3047 nucleotides) under Hevea brasiliensis (rubber tree). Lineage: Eukaryota; Viridiplantae; Streptophyta; Magnoliopsida; Malpighiales; Euphorbiaceae. The record is from RNAcentral.